AUGGAUUCUCCUGGGGGCCGGGAUCGGAUGGCUUCUUGGAAGAAACUACCAUCUCCUUCAGCAAAAAGCAUGAAGGAAGUUGCUUCGCCAAAGGAACUUAAUGAUAGGAAGGCUGAACCUUUGAAAAUGUCGAACAAUAGGAAAGCAGUUUCUGAUGCAGAUCUAAUUGCUGCUAAGCUUUCAGAGCUUCCUAUAGCCAAAGAUUCACAUGCAAAUUCUACAAAGCACCAACACAAAGUUUCUUGGGGUUAUUGGGGUGAUCAGCAGAAUGUUUCUGAUGAUAGUUCAAUAAUUUGUCGCAUUUGUGAGGA
This 311-nucleotide unclassified non-coding RNA is filed under the name Hevea brasiliensis (rubber tree). The record is from RNAcentral. Lineage: Eukaryota; Viridiplantae; Streptophyta; Magnoliopsida; Malpighiales; Euphorbiaceae.